AUUAAUUCUUAAAAAAAAGAUCAAAUGAAUGAGGAAUCAAUCAAAAUAUCAAUAAAUACAGAGAAAAAAUUACCAGAAGGUUUAGAGUGCCUAUGUGAAAAUUUGAUGUGUGGAUGCAAUACACAGUAUAUAUCCCCAAACCAGAAGGCAACACUGAAGUUAAUACGGUCUUGAGCUUCUGAAAGCUCACCUCACCAUCAUCGGACCAUCAGAACGGAACACUCUUAAUUGCUUGCGCUCCGCUCAAUUUGCUCUAUUUUUCGAUUCGUCUCUUCUAUACCUUCGAUGGUAUAAGAGAAAAGUAUAAAGACAAAAGUUGUGAUAAUUAGACAUUUUAAGAAGAGAUAUUCAGAAAAGUAUAAGGCACUCAAUAAUGUCUGCGUUUGGUGAAUGUGAUUUGUAAGUCGCAAUCAACAAAUACGAUUUACUCCGUUGCUCGAUAAUUUAAAUCUCCUCGAAUGGUAACUCCUUAUAUAUAUAAUCAACGAUUUCCAAUUUCUUUAAUAAGUAGAUCAAGUUAUUGUUGCUCUUUUUUAGAUACAUAUAAAUUCUCCGAACAAAAAUGACUUAAGAAGUGUUUCUCCUCUGAUUGUAACCCCUUAUAUAAUCAACAACUGUCUAUCUUUUUGAUGAAUAUAAAACCUUAUUGUUGCUCUUUGAUAAAUAUAGUUUCAAGUGUGUUAAAUAUUAUUUUUUAUCAGUUGAAUUUUCUUAGGCACUUAAUAAAUGUGUGUAUGAUAUAUUGAGGAAUAACUCAUUAUUAUACAACAAUAAUAAUAACAUACCUAAUAAUAUCCCACACUGUGGGAUCAAUAACUCAUUAUUAUGUAUGAGAAAAAAUUCUGUUUUUUUAAAGCUUAUUCUCUAUCCGAAAAUUAUAAAUGAAGAGCUAAGAUUUUGAGGAAAAAAUUAUAUAUAACAAAUAAUGAAAUUUGUUAUUUUUUUCAAUUUGACAGGUCAAUUUGAAAAUUAUAUGUAACAAAUUGUAACUGGUUAUAAUGUAACAAAAUAUUAAUAGGCGAAUAACCAAUUAUAUGUAACAAAAUAGGUGACAUAUUCAAAUUGGCCGACUUUGUUUACAUAUUCAAAUUGUAAAUAGUUGCAGCUUAGCAUUUCCACGAUUUAACUUAUUGCAUUGUACUUUAUUAUACCUCUUUCAGAGAAUAAAAUUGAUGUUUAUGAUUAUGCAUUAUGAUGAACUCCAAAAACUUCGCACCAAAAUAAUUAGACAAGAAACUCAUGUGCGUGUACAAUCUAUCCUAGAAAGUGUAUGAUGUAUGAAUUUAUAUAAGUUUUAUUCAAAUGAUAAAAUUAGAUUUUUAGAUCAUUUAAAUUGCAACUGCAAGUAAGUUUGAAUAUUAAAUAUCAAUUAAUAAACCUGGAAAGAUCUAAGAUAGAAAAUCUGUUGAGGUAUAAUGAGUUUCAUAUGCUUUUUAAUUACAUUAUCGUUCCAGCAAAUUAGUUGGAUCGUAGCUCAUUAAUUACCCGAAAUUCUUAAAACAAAAAUAUAAACAACAAAUUAAAUGACACUACAUUUACAUGUUUCCAAUUGUAAAAUUUUCAAACUAGUUACCUUCAAAAUCAAGUUUUUGGACAACAUUAAAGCAAAAAUAAAAGCUCCAUUUUUUAAAAAACAAAUUGGGCUAUGAACCAUCUCAAGAAGGAAUAUGAGCAUUUUCUAUGAGAUUCCUAAACAAACAAGUCACCUAAUUUUAGGGCAUAAUUUCUAUACUAUGAUAGUAUAAAAAAUGUAUAUCAUCAGAUCAUGCAUAUUAAAUUACACUGAUAGUGUGUAAAGCCAUUUUGACAUGUAAGUAAGUCUAGUUGAUGAUUAGGACUUCACUAACUUCGCUAAAAAAAUCUGAUAUUUGAAGACGUAAUUCACAUUGACUGAAAAUGAUGUACCCAAAACAAUUGAAGUAUAGACAUUAAGGGAAAAAAUACUGAUUAUUAGGAGUACAUUUUAUAAAGAUGGAUGUACUCUUCAUCAAUGCCUACAAAACAACUAAAGGUAUUGGAAUUGAUGAGAUCCAUUCACUCUUAAUAAAAAAUCUUCUAUUCGAGCCCCGAAAAUGAAGAUAUCUUUGGUAGAGAAUACUUUCUUCCUUUAAUGAAUCAUAUCCGUUAAGAAUCUGAAUUAUUCGGACCAAUAAUACCAAAUACCAAAUGAUUAUACCAAAAAAAGAUACUAACUGAUAAUGAAAAGGAAAAAAAGAGAACAAAAUACCAAAACUGUUAUAAAACAAUAAAAGAAGAAGAGCAUUACGGAGAAAAGUAUAGAGGGAAUUCUUAUUGAAUUUUGGGAUAAAUUAUAAUGAAAUAGAACCCUUCUAUUUAUAGGGAAAAAGUGACUUAGCCACCAAGUAACAACCCUAAAGUCUCUCUAAAAUAUAGUCAUUCACCAUAAAUAAAAUAUUAUUUAUAACACUCCCCCUUGAAUGUCUAUUUAAUAUAUAAUGUGCCUCGUUAAAAUCUUAACUAAAAUAAAAUCUGGUAGGAAAAGAUUCUAGUGAAGGAAAAAGAGGAAACAUAUCUAACAAUACAGUCUUUUGGUUGCCUCGUUAAGACCUUGCAAGAAAAACCCAGUAGGACAAAAUCUUGUAAGGAAAAAAGAGUACAACGCGUAUUAACUCCCCUUGAUGAGAGCAUCAAUUCACAUCCUUGAACCUUCGCAUUCCAAUCUUGUGCACCAUCUUCAAAAUAUCAUUGAUAGAGAUUUGAUACACAAAUCAGUCAUAUUAACUUGAAUGAACAUCAUUCUUGAUAGAUAUAUAAUGUCUUUAUAAACUGCCGUGGAAUGGCCUUUUCAAUAGCUCCAUAGAGGUAAAAAAUUCUCACUAUCACAUUAUCAUGCUUAUAGUUAUAGCAAGAUGCAUUGUGCAUAAAUUGCAUCGAGGAUGUGGUACUUCAAGAUCAAGAAUUGUAUAUGCUUCAAGCAAUUGAAAUCCUUCGGGGAUUAUCAUAUAAGUAUAGUCAAAUAAGUCAUAUAAAUAGACUUCAGAUGCAUAUCAAGUUUUCAUGUCAUGUUAGACAUAUAAAAUAGAUAAAAGUAAUUGCACAUACCAUUGACUUUAUACUUUCAAGUGUUUGAACUACAUGUCCAAAAUUAUACGUCUUUCAUAUGAAACUAAUUCAUUGUUUCUCCAGACUUAAGAUCCUCUUAUGUAUUUUGCGUUAUCAUAUAUGUCGUCGAUAAAUAUUAUAUAUCGGUUCCAAUAUAUUUUUCAUAGAGACAUAACAUAGAGAUCUCUUCAUUCAUUUCUGCUACCUGAACCUCUCCUGAGAUUUUAUAAAGUAUUAUGUCAUGUGAUCUUCUAGAUCACUUGCCUCCUUUAUGAUCAUUUUGAUCAUUUGCUCAUCUUCUUUAUCAAGAAGUUUAUUUGAAACCGAUUUGUCUAUAUGCUUUAAGCGUACCAUAUACUUUGUUCUUCUAGGACUUAAUAGGAGCAUUUUAAGUGAGAAUAUAGUUACUUUCUUUGGGUCAGCAAAUGCGUCUUGUAUACUUUGCAAUAUAUUGCAGAUGAAUUAUCUUUUUAUGAACUUCAAAUUCAUAUUAUCUUAUUCGAGGAUCUAGAUGUAGAAAUGAUAAUUCAUUCCACGUAACUUUUUCUCAACUGUUUAUCUUGUCUCCCCCUCGUGUUAGAAAAACUAACUUGCUUCCUCAACUUUGGGAACUCAUCUUUGUGCAUUGUGGUGUUAACCAAAAUAUACACCGCACAUCAAUAAUAAUAAGAUGAAAUUAUUUGGUUCCUGACUCUGAACCACUUGUGAGGGGAGAAUGUAAUAUACUUUUGAGUAUAAUGUAUGUCAAACUAAUAUAGAUAACUUUGUUCUCAUAAGCAAUAAUUUAACUAUUAAGUGAAGGCACUCAAUAAAUUAUUUUGCUAAACCAGAUGUGAUAUAAACUAACUUAUCAAGAUGAACUGUCUUGAAUAGAAAAUCUGAAAAUUAUGCUCUAAAUUAAAUUAUUGAGCAAGUUACCUCACAAACACCAAGUUGCGGGUAAAUAAUAACCGCACAUGUAACCAUCUCAUAGAUGCAUCUUUAUAAGGUUUACAUGGCAGGUGAAUGAGCUCAUAUUCACCUUUGAUAAAUUUCAUAAUUCAAGGGAUUCAUUCCCAAUUUUAGUUGGUACAAUAAUCGCGAGAACAAGCAAUAUAAGAGAAUUCAUAAAGAAUCUUCUUCAACACUUACCCAUGUUAAUUCUCAUUUAUUUUAUGCAUCUAAAUCAAGAUUGCUCAAUAGGCCAUGCUUGAUAAAAUUGUCUGUAUUAGUAAACUUCAGGUUUACAUCAUGGCAUGUGCAAUUAUGAAUAAACUCCAAGUUUAUUAUGAUAUGAGUUUUUAUAUCAAUAAACUUCUACUUUAUUGUGGUAUUCUUUUGUUUGUGUUGUACAAACUGAAGAAUAAAGCGGGUAGCUUUUCACAUACAUAUCACCCGCUACUACUUGUAGUAAUAUAAGAUAUUGAAAUUUUCCUUUAUUUAUAGUCUCAAUAUAACCAAUCGCUUUUGCGAAUACUUUAGAAACUCAAUAAGUUUCUUUGAGACUUACUACAAUAUAAUGCCUUGUUGAUAAUCAAUUUUGUUCCUCCAAAAUAGUAAUAAUUGGCUCUUCCAGAGCUCUCAAUUAAUUUUGUACUACCACAUAUUCAUCAACAUCUAUAUGGUGAAUAUCUCUUUUAAAGAGAAAGUUAUACCACUAUGGUUAUGGUCAAAAUUAUAUGUAAGACCUGUUUCUUGCAUUACCGUUGUCUUUUAAUAAUCACAUUCCCAAAAUAUUUUGGCGUACAAUAAGUACGUGGCCAAUGACCAUUUACGCCAUAAUAAUGACAUUAUUUUCUUAUUUCCUCUCAAACCUCCUUUUAGAGGUGAGUGUGGUAUAUACAACUAGCACGCUCAUAUUCUUCCAAAAAUAAAUAUGUAUUCAUAAAUCACAUGUUGUCACAUUCACAUCAUGAAUAGACUAUAGUUAUAUAUAUGUGCUUUACAAAAUCUCAUGUCAAAUCGAUGACAAAUAUUACUUUCACAUAGUGAAAGAUUAUUUUGAGAAUACUUAUUGUUCUCAUUACCACAAUGAUGACGAUUAUAAUUUCGUCUAUUGCCAUCGUCCAAAUCCAUUGAUACAUUCAUGGUGAUAAUUUUGUUUCUUUCAGACGUAUCAAAUACUGCUAUCACAUUCUCUUAAGGGAAUGAGAAUGAAGCAAAUUCAAUGGGACAGGUUUUCACUUCUUGUGCUCACAAUCAUACAUGAAUUUGAUCAUGGCAAGACAUAAAAAUUUUACCACUUUUAGUGGUUAUAAUUUCUUACAAACUUUAUUAGAGUUAUAAUCAAAAUUUAUUGUUUUUACUUGUAUUUAAAAUCAAAUUAUAGAAUUUUAAGAAUUCAAAAGAGAAAAAUAAAGUAAAAUACUUACUUUAAAUCCAGAAUUUAAUCAUGAAGGAAGUUCAUGGAACAAUUGGCAAUUAUUAUGCUCAAUCCCAAAGCUUCUACUCAACCCAAAGCUUCUACUCAAUUGGUUAGAGUCUUGUGCUGAUAACGUGUUAUAAAACAAUAAAAGAAGAAGAGUGUUAAAGAGAAAAGUAGAGAGGAAAUUCUUAUUGAACUUUGGGAUAAAUUACAAUGAAAUAGAAUCUCUCUAUUUAUAGGGAAAAAAUAACUUAAUCACCAAGUAAUAACCCUAAAAUCUCUCUAAAAUAUAGACAUUCACAUAAGAUAAUAUUUGUAACAAAAACAAGGAAUCUCACGAUAUAUAUUCGAAGGCAAACAAAUGAAGAAAAUAGUCAAAAAUGCGUACAUUUGUUUAAAACUCAUGAUCGAUCCAUUAUUUCUGGAACUGGGCUCUCUGUAACGCUUUCUAAAGAUGGUUUCCACUUAGAAUCUCUUCUUUCUCUUCUUCUUUUUAUUUCUCCCAAACAAUCAUCUAAAUUUUUUCCGUCUUUGAGUUUCAACUGAAGCAAUAACUUUUCUAGCUCUUCUUUACUCAAAACAAUCUUUAUUCUCAUACUAUUAUUUCCUUUUAUCUCUGUUUCUGUUUUUGCCUUGAGAAUUUCACUUGUUUUUUCCUCUGUUUCUAGUUCUUGAAUACUUUCCUCUAUUUCUUCCCUUCGUAAACAUGCUUCCAUGCAAUUUCCCAUUAUAUUGGAAACACUGGUAAAUCGUUCUUUCUUCUAAGAAAUGGAUUUUUUUAAAUAGUAAUUUGCUGUUUCUGAGCUGAAAGAAGAGGAAGAAAAAGCAGCCAAAACCAAUAAUUUUGAGAGAGAGAGAGAAAAGAGAAAAUUUUGAAGUGUUAACUAUAGUGCAUGUGAUGGUGAUUAGACUUCAUAUAUAGAAAGAAUAAACACGUAUUGAAUAAAAUAUUGUAUUAGUUAAUUAAUACGAGGGACUUUGCUUUUUUGUUAUGAUCAUCUCAUAGCGAGAAUUACUACACAAACUAAUUUAAAUUCGUG
Molecule: long non-coding RNA, 6447 nt
Filed under: Nicotiana tabacum (common tobacco)
Lineage: Eukaryota; Viridiplantae; Streptophyta; Magnoliopsida; Solanales; Solanaceae
Description: long non-coding RNA (NTAB_LNC012706)
Source: RNAcentral